AAUCAUUUGCCUUUUAAUGGAGGCUGGUAUGAAUGGCAAGACGGAGGUUUAGCUGUCUCUCUUUUAGAAUCUUGAAUUUGCCAUCUUCGUGAAGAGGCGAAGAUAAAGUCGUAGGACGAGAAGACCCUAUCGAGCUUAAGCUUUAUAAUAGAGUUGAAAAAUUUUUGUUUUUAGGCUAAUUGAAAAACGACUUAAUUUUACCUAGGAAUAAAGAUUAACUACUAUUAGAAUGUUUUGGUUGGGGCAACCGCGGAGAAAAUACACCCUCCGUUACAAAAUUAGAAAAACUUACUACUUUGGGAAAUUUUAAAGUUUAAAAAUGAUCCACUAAAAAGUGAUCAAAGGAAUAAGUUACCGUAGGGAUAACAGCGUAAUUUUUUUGGAGAGUUCAUAUUGAUAAAAAAGUUUGCGACCUCGAUGUUGGAUCGGGACUUCCAGGAGAUGCAGAAGUUUCCAAGGGUUGGUCUGUUCGACCAUUAAAGUCCUACGUGAUCUGAGUUCAGACCGGA
This 509-nucleotide ribosomal RNA is filed under the name Astropecten aranciacus. RNAcentral describes it as "partial 16S ribosomal RNA". It matches the Rfam family "Bacterial large subunit ribosomal RNA", at positions 1963 to 2620 of the family's 2925-position model. The record is from RNAcentral. Lineage: Eukaryota; Metazoa; Echinodermata; Asteroidea; Paxillosida; Astropectinidae.